This 562-nucleotide ribosomal RNA is filed under the name Aspergillus flavus. Its description in RNAcentral is "eukaryotic LSU rRNA". The stretch from base 211 to 364 matches the Rfam family "5.8S ribosomal RNA". The record is from RNAcentral. Lineage: Eukaryota; Fungi; Ascomycota; Eurotiomycetes; Eurotiales; Aspergillaceae.
CGUAGGUGAACCUGCGGAAGGAUCAUUACCGAGUGUAGGGUUCCUAGCGAGCCCAACCUCCCACCCGUGUUUACUGUACCUUAGUUGCUUCGGCGGGCCCGCCAUUCAUGGCCGCCGGGGGCUCUCAGCCCCGGGCCCGCGCCCGCCGGAGACACCACGAACUCUGUCUGAUCUAGUGAAGUCUGAGUUGAUUGUAUCGCAAUCAGUUAAAACUUUCAACAAUGGAUCUCUUGGUUCCGGCAUCGAUGAAGAACGCAGCGAAAUGCGAUAACUAGUGUGAAUUGCAGAAUUCCGUGAAUCAUCGAGUCUUUGAACGCACAUUGCGCCCCCUGGUAUUCCGGGGGGCAUGCCUGUCCGAGCGUCAUUGCUGCCCAUCAAGCACGGCUUGUGUGUUGGGUCGUCGUCCCCUCUCCGGGGGGGACGGGCCCCAAAGGCAGCGGCGGCACCGCGUCCGAUCCUCGAGCGUAUGGGGCUUUGUCACCCGCUCUGUAGGCCCGGCCGGCGCUUGCCGAACGCAAAUCAAUCUUUUUCCAGGUUGACCUCGGAUCAGGUAGGGAUACCC